CACACAUUGCGCCCCUUGGUAUUCCAUGGGGCAUGCCUGUUCGAGCGUCAUUUGAACCUUCAAGCUUUGCUUGGUGAUGGGUGUUUGUCUCCUCUAGCAGGUAGACUCGCCUUAAAAUGAUUGGCAGCCGGCAUAUAGGCCAUUGGAACGCAGCACAAUUUGCGAGCCAAGCCGUUAUACUGGCAUCCACCAAGCUUAUUUCUCACGUUUGACCUCGGAUCAGGUAGGGAUACCCGCUGAACUUAA
RNAcentral lists this unclassified non-coding RNA (246 nucleotides) under Setophoma sp. RNAcentral's name for it is "partial contains 5.8S ribosomal RNA, internal transcribed spacer 2, and large subunit ribosomal RNA". The record is from RNAcentral. Lineage: Eukaryota; Fungi; Ascomycota; Dothideomycetes; Pleosporales; Phaeosphaeriaceae.